UACAGGGGGUGCAAACGUUGCUCGGAAUUAUUGGGCGUAAAGCGCGCGUAGGCGGCUACUUAUGUCGGAUGUGAAAGCCCUUGGCUCAACUGAGGAAGUGCACCCGAAACUGAGUAGCUGGAGUACGAAAGAGGGUCGCGGAAUUCCCGGUGUAGAGGUGAAAUUCGUAGAUAUCGGGAGGAACACCGGUGGCGAAGGCGGCGACCUGGGUCGAUACUGACGCUGAGGCGCGAAAGCGUGGGGAGCAAACAUG
RNAcentral lists this ribosomal RNA (253 nucleotides) under uncultured bacterium. RNAcentral describes it as "partial 16S ribosomal RNA". It matches the Rfam family "Bacterial small subunit ribosomal RNA", at positions 524 to 776 of the family's 1533-position model. The record is from RNAcentral.